UUAAGCGACUAAGCGUACACGGUGGAUGCCCUGGCAGUCAGAGGCGAUGAAGGACGUGCUAAUCUGCGAUAAGCGUCGGUAAGGUGAUAUGAACCGUUAUAACCGGCGAUUUCCGAAUGGGGAAACCCAGUGUGUUUCGACACACUAUCAUUAACUGAAUCCAUAGGUUAAUGAGGCGAACCGGGGGAACUGAAACAUCUAAGUACCCCGAGGAAAAGAAAUCAACCGAGAUUCCCCCAGUAGCGGCGAGCGAACGGGGAGCAGCCCAGAGCCUGAAUCAGUGUGUGUGUUAGUGGAAGCGUCUGGAAAGGCGCGCGAUACAGGGUGACAGCCCCGUACACAAAAAUGCACAUGCUGUGAGCUCGAUGAGUAGGGCGGGACACGUGGUAUCCUGUCUGAAUAUGGGGGGACCAUCCUCCAAGGCUAAAUACUCCUGACUGACCGAUAGUGAACCAGUACCGUGAGGGAAAGGCGAAAAGAACCCCGGCGAGGGGAGUGAAAAAGAACCUGAAACCGUGUACGUACAAGCAGUGGGAGCACGCUUCGGCGUGUGACUGCGUACCUUUUGUAUAAUGGGUCAGCGACUUAUAUUCUGUAGCAAGGUUAACCGAAUAGGGGAGCCGAAGGGAAACCGAGUCUUAACUGGGCGUUAAGUUGCAGGGUAUAGACCCGAAACCCGGUGAUCUAGCCAUGGGCAGGUUGAAGGUUGGGUAACACUAACUGGAGGACCGAACCGACUAAUGUUGAAAAAUUAGCGGAUGACUUGUGGCUGGGGGUGAAAGGCCAAUCAAACCGGGAGAUAGCUGGUUCUCCCCGAAAGCUAUUUAGGUAGCGCCUCGUGAAUUCAUCUCCGGGGGUAGAGCACUGUUUCGGCAAGGGGGUCAUCCCGACUUACCAACCCGAUGCAAACUGCGAAUACCGGAGAAUGUUAUCACGGGAGACACACGGCGGGUGCUAACGUCCGUCGUGAAGAGGGAAACAACCCAGACCGCCAGCUAAGGUCCCAAAGUCAUGGUUAAGUGGGAAACGAUGUGGGAAGGCCCAGACAGCCAGGAUGUUGGCUUAGAAGCAGCCAUCAUUUAAAGAAAGCGUAAUAGCUCACUGGUCGAGUCGGCCUGCGCGGAAGAUGUAACGGGGCUAAACCAUGCACCGAAGCUGCGGCAGCGACACUAUGUGUUGUUGGGUAGGGGAGCGUUCUGUAAGCCUGCGAAGGUGGCCUGUGAGGGUUGCUGGAGGUAUCAGAAGUGCGAAUGCUGACAUAAGUAACGAUAAAGCGGGUGAAAAGCCCGCUCGCCGGAAGACCAAGGGUUCCUGUCCAACGUUAAUCGGGGCAGGGUGAGUCGACCCCUAAGGCGAGGCCGAAAGGCGUAGUCGAUGGGAAACAGGUUAAUAUUCCUGUACUUGGUGUUACUGCGAAGGGGGGACGGAGAAGGCUAUGUUGGCCGGGCGACGGUUGUCCCGGUUUAAGCGUGUAGGCUGGUUUUCCAGGCAAAUCCGGAAAAUCAAGGCUGAGGCGUGAUGACGAGGCACUACGGUGCUGAAGCAACAAAUGCCCUGCUUCCAGGAAAAGCCUCUAAGCAUCAGGUAACAUCAAAUCGUACCCCAAACCGACACAGGUGGUCAGGUAGAGAAUACCAAGGCGCUUGAGAGAACUCGGGUGAAGGAACUAGGCAAAAUGGUGCCGUAACUUCGGGAGAAGGCACGCUGAUAUGUAGGUGAAGCGACUUGCUCGUGGAGCUGAAAUCAGUCGAAGAUACCAGCUGGCUGCAACUGUUUAUUAAAAACACAGCACUGUGCAAACACGAAAGUGGACGUAUACGGUGUGACGCCUGCCCGGUGCCGGAAGGUUAAUUGAUGGGGUUAGCGGUAACGCGAAGCUCUUGAUCGAAGCCCCGGUAAACGGCGGCCGUAACUAUAACGGUCCUAAGGUAGCGAAAUUCCUUGUCGGGUAAGUUCCGACCUGCACGAAUGGCGUAAUGAUGGCCAGGCUGUCUCCACCCGAGACUCAGUGAAAUUGAACUCGCUGUGAAGAUGCAGUGUACCCGCGGCAAGACGGAAAGACCCCGUGAACCUUUACUAUAGCUUGACACUGAACAUUGAGCCUUGAUGUGUAGGAUAGGUGGGAGGCUUUGAAGUGUGGACGCCAGUCUGCAUGGAGCCGACCUUGAAAUACCACCCUUUAAUGUUUGAUGUUCUAACGUUGGCCCCUAAUCGGGGUUGCGGACAGUGUCUGGUGGGUAGUUUGACUGGGGCGGUCUCCUCCUAAAGAGUAACGGAGGAGCACGAAGGUUGGCUAAUCCUGGUCGGACAUCAGGAGGUUAGUGCAAUGGCAUAAGCCAGCUUGACUGCGAGCGUGACGGCGCGAGCAGGUGCGAAAGCAGGUCAUAGUGAUCCGGUGGUUCUGAAUGGAAGGGCCAUCGCUCAACGGAUAAAAGGUACUCCGGGGAUAACAGGCUGAUACCGCCCAAGAGUUCAUAUCGACGGCGGUGUUUGGCACCUCGAUGUCGGCUCAUCACAUCCUGGGGCUGAAGUAGGUCCCAAGGGUAUGGCUGUUCGCCAUUUAAAGUGGUACGCGAGCUGGGUUUAGAACGUCGUGAGACAGUUCGGUCCCUAUCUGCCGUGGGCGCUGGAGAACUGAGGGGGGCUGCUCCUAGUACGAGAGGACCGGAGUGGACGCAUCACUGGUGUUCGGGUUGUCAUGCCAAUGGCACUGCCCGGUAGCUAAAUGCGGAAGAGAUAAGUGCUGAAAGCAUCUAAGCACGAAACUUGCCCCGAGAUGAGUUCUCCCUGACUCCUUGAGAGUCCUGAAGGAACGUUGAAGACGACGACGUUGAUAGGCCGGGUGUGUAAGCGCAGCGAUGCGUUGAGCUAACCGGUACUAAUGAACCGUGAGGCUUAACCUU
RNAcentral lists this ribosomal RNA (2903 nucleotides) under Escherichia coli. RNAcentral describes it as "23S ribosomal RNA". It matches the Rfam family "Bacterial large subunit ribosomal RNA". The record is from RNAcentral. Lineage: Bacteria; Pseudomonadati; Pseudomonadota; Gammaproteobacteria; Enterobacterales; Enterobacteriaceae.